AGUGAACGCUGGCGGUAGGCCUAACACAUGCAAGUCGAACGGCAGCACAGUAAGAGCUUGCUCUUACGGGUGGCGAGUGGCGGACGGGUGAGGAAUACAUCGGAAUCUACUUUUUCGUGGGGGAUAACGUAGGGAAACUUACGCUAAUACCGCAUACGACCUACGGGUGAAAGCAGGGGAUCUUCGGACCUUGCGCGAUUGAAUGAGCCGAUGUCGGAUUAGCUAGUUGGCGGGGAAAAGGCCCACCAAGGCGACGAUCCGUAGCUGGUCUGAGAGGAUGAUCAGCCACACUGGAACUGAGACACGGUCCAGACUCCUACGGGAGGCAGCAGUGGGGAAUAUUGGACAAUGGGCGCAAGCCUGAUCCAGCCAUACCGCGUGGGUGAAGAAGGCCUUCGGGUUGUAAAGCCCUUUUGUUGGGAAAGAAAAGCAGCAGGUUAAUACCCCGCUGUUCUGACGGUACCCAAAGAAUAAGUACCGGCUAACUUCGUG
This 492-nucleotide ribosomal RNA is filed under the name uncultured bacterium. RNAcentral describes it as "partial 16S ribosomal RNA". It matches the Rfam family "Bacterial small subunit ribosomal RNA", at positions 29 to 507 of the family's 1533-position model. The record is from RNAcentral.